This 390-nucleotide ribosomal RNA is filed under the name Triticum aestivum (bread wheat). Its description in RNAcentral is "partial small subunit ribosomal RNA". The record is from RNAcentral. Lineage: Eukaryota; Viridiplantae; Streptophyta; Magnoliopsida; Poales; Poaceae.
AUGCUGACUUUGCAUGAGGUCCUCCACCACACUCAUGUAAAAAAGAGAACCGGGGUUGUGCUUAAACUCGAUUUCGAGAAAGCGUACGACAAAGUCAAUUGGGACUUCCUUCUUGAAUGCCAUAGACUUAGGGGCUUCGGAGAUAAGUGGUGCUCCUGGGUUGAUCAAGUUUUACGAAACGAGACAGUGAAUGUUAAGAUUAACAACACGGUAGGGCCGUAUUUCCAAAGCUUUAAGGGGGUUCGUCAGGGAGACCCUAUGUCCCCCUUUUUGUUCAAUCUAGCAGCUGAAUGUUUAUCCAAAAUGGUUUUCAAUGCUCAAAAGAAUAAUCUGCUCAAAGGGCUCGCGGCUGACCUCGUUCCAGGGUGUGUCUAUCCUUCAAUAUGCUGA